CGUGUUUGGUGAGAAAUUUGAAUCAGUUACAGCAACAUCAACAAUCUUCACUUCCGCGUCGAUCGACCGGAGAACGCGGAUAUCAAGGUGAGCUAUUCUUUAACUGUUAAUCUUUAAUUCAUGUUAAUUAAAAGUUAAAAUCUCAUUUCUUGAACUAUUUUAAGUCUUAUCAGCCGCUGUAAGCUCCUCGUUUUUUUAAUACGAUGACAAGAUUUUCUCCGUGAUAUCUUGAAACAAACCACAGUUAUUUUGUAGUGACGUUGAAGGUUAAUCUGAUUUUACCUUGAAUGAAAAUUAGUCUUUACCCUCAAUGGAAUUUGCGAUAAAACCUCUAGCAACCCCAAUUUUUCCAGGAAAGUCUUUCAACUCUCUGUACCAUUUCAUCUUACACAUGAAUGUCGUUUGACCUGAAAAUCAGCUCCUUAGCAACCAAAAACGAGAGGUGUCUGUAAAAUACCAUUCACUUGAAUGUGUAACGAUUACCAUCGUCUUCUGGGCUUACGUUUAUUUUCCUUAGGUAAUUUUUUAAUCUCCAUGGAAAAAAUUCAUUCAUCAAUGCAGUAUUAGUAUGAGACAUGUUCUUAUUUGUUGAGAGCUUCAUUAUAUGUUAAUAGUUAUAUGAAAGAUAUAUUGAUACAACUGAAGGCAUCGGGGGUGACCUCUUACCACUUUCACUCACAAGGUGAGUACCAUUUAUGACUAAUUUGAAGACAGUUUCAAAUUGUUUUUUUUUGUUCUUGUUGAAUAAAAACUCUUAAUUUUUCCCCUUUUUACAGGGUAGCAACAUUGCCCUCCAACUCUCUGAUCAGUCUGUUAUUGUGCUUGUCAAUCAAGGGUGAAGUGAUUUUCUGAUAGCAACAGCUGAAAUAGAGAGAAUUAGUCAAAGCAGAUAACUGUCAUAAAAGGUAACAGGAUCUGAGUUUCUGAAAACAGGAAUAAUUUGUGGCAGCAUGGACAUUUCAACUGGAGAGGAGAGUUUCAAAAGUGAUGAUCCUUCAGAAAAUAAACGUAGAAGAGUAGCAGG
This is a non-coding RNA of Pocillopora verrucosa, 1024 nucleotides long. NCBI's taxonomy places the organism in Eukaryota, Metazoa, Cnidaria, Anthozoa, Scleractinia, Pocilloporidae. The record is from RefSeq and is a predicted model, not a curated record.